Molecule: long non-coding RNA, 237 nt
Organism: Helianthus annuus (common sunflower)
Lineage: Eukaryota; Viridiplantae; Streptophyta; Magnoliopsida; Asterales; Asteraceae
Exons: 3
Source: RefSeq, a predicted model, not a curated record
UUAACAACCGGAAAGAAAAAAAGAUAAAUAUUGUUUUGGUAUCAAGAGGAAGACGGAGAAUUCGGUAAUCCAAAUCACCGUCCGUCCAGAACACACUUCCGGGCUAGAUCUCUGCAGAGCACACAUAUGAUAUAUGAUGGAUGGAUGGACCAUCGAGACUUAAACAUCUUAUAUCCUAAAUGAAUCAUACCUCCCAAGUCAGUUGAGGAGAAUGAAGCCUUUCUCUACGAAGAAGAC